GGUUCAGGAUGAACGCUAGCGACAGGCCUAACACAUGCAAGGUCGAGGGGCAGCACAAGGAGCAAUCUGAGGUGGCGACCGGCGCACGGGUGAGUAACACGUAUGCAACCUGCCUGUAAGCGGGGAAUAACCCGUUGAAAGACGGACUAAUACCGCAUAAUACUAAAUUACUGCAUGGUAAUUUAUUUAAACAUUUAUGGCUUACAGAUGGGCAUGCGCAUGAUUAGCUAGUUGGAGAGGUAACGGCUCCCCAAGGCAACGAUCAUUAGGGGUUCUGAGAGGAAGGUCCCCCACACUGGUACUGAGACACGGACCAGACUCCUACGGGAGGCAGCAGUGAGGAAUAUUGGUCAAUGGACGAGAGUCUGAACCAGCCAGGUCGCGUGCAGGAAGAAUGUCCUUAAUGGAUUGUAAACUGCUUUUGCAGGGGAAUAAAGUGCAUCACGUGUGAUGUUUUGUAUGUACUCUGCGAAUAAGGAUCGGCUAACUCCGUGCCAGCAGCCGC
RNAcentral lists this ribosomal RNA (505 nucleotides) under uncultured bacterium. RNAcentral describes it as "bacterial SSU rRNA". It matches the Rfam family "Bacterial small subunit ribosomal RNA", at positions 21 to 518 of the family's 1533-position model. The record is from RNAcentral.